AGUCGAGCGAGAAAGUAUCUUCGGAUAUGAGUAGAGCGGCGGACGGGUGAGUAACGCGUAGGAAUCUACCUAGUAGAAGGGGAUAGCCCGGGGAAACUCGGAUUAAUACCGUAUACCUCCUUUGGGAGAAAGAGGGCCUCUCUUGAUGCUCUCGCUAUUAGAUGAGCCUGCGUAAGAUUAGCUUGUUGGUGAGGUAAUGGCUCACCAAGGCUACGAUCUUUAGUUGGUCUGAGAGGACGAUCAGCCACAUUGGGACUGAGACACGGCCCAGACUCCUACGGGAGGCAGCAGUGGGGAAUAUUGGACAAUGGGCGCAAGCCUGAUCCAGCCAUACCGCGUGUGUGAAGAAGGCCUUCGGGUUGUAAAGCACUUUAAGCAGGGAGAAAAGGUUAUAAGUUAAUACCUUAUAACCGUGAUGUUACCUGCAGAAUAAGCACCGGCUAAUUCCGUGCCAGCAGCCGCGGUAAUACGGAAGGUGCAAGCGUUAAUCGGAAUUACUGGGCGUAAAGCGUGCGUAGGUGGUUUGUUAAGUUGGAUGUGAAAGCCCUGGGCUCAACCUAGGAACUGCAUCCAAAACUAACUCACUAGAGUACGAUAGAGGGAGGUAGAAUUCAUAGUGUAGCGGUGGAAUGCGUAGAUAUUAUGAAGAAUACCAGUGGCGAAGGCGGCCUCCUGGAUCUGUACUGACACUGAGGUGCGAAAGCGUGGGUAGCGAACAGGAUUAGAUACCCUGGUAGUCCACGCCGUAAACGAUGACAACUAGCUGUUGGGAGACAAUGUCUUUCAGUGGCGCAGCUAACGUUUUAAGUUGUCCGCCUGGGGAGUACGGCCGCAAGGCUAAAACUCAAAUGAAUUGACGGGGACCCGCACAAGCGGUG
Molecule: ribosomal RNA, 878 nt
Filed under: uncultured marine bacterium
Lineage: Bacteria
Description: bacterial SSU rRNA
Rfam family: Bacterial small subunit ribosomal RNA
Source: RNAcentral